ACACACCCCCUGUCAGCGACUAUUGCUAUAUCACCCUGAUCCAAGAAGCUAAGCAGGGUCGGGCCUGGCCAGCACUUAGAUGGGAGGCUUCUUGGGAAUUUUGGGUUUC
Ribosomal RNA from Chlorocebus sabaeus (green monkey), 109 nucleotides. Lineage: Eukaryota; Metazoa; Chordata; Mammalia; Primates; Cercopithecidae. The record is from Ensembl.